Long non-coding RNA from Oncorhynchus tshawytscha (Chinook salmon), 1321 nucleotides. The record is from Ensembl. Lineage: Eukaryota; Metazoa; Chordata; Actinopteri; Salmoniformes; Salmonidae.
UGUUUAUCUUCCUCGCUCUCCUCUUUCUCCUCCUGUUUAUCUUCCUCGCUCUCCUCUUUCUCCUCCUGUUUAUCUUCCUCGCUCUCCUCUUUCUCCUUCUGUUUAUCUUUCUCACUCUCCUCUUUCUCCUUCUGUUUAUCUUUCUCACUCUCCUCUUUGUCCUUCUUGCUCUCCUCUUUCUCAACCCCCCACACGCUUUCUUUCUUGCCCCCCUUCUUCCCCAGGUCUCUCUUCUUCCCAUACAGCCUCUCCUGGAUCCUGUCGUUCAGUCGGCCCAACUCUUCCACCCCCAGAUCCAGCCCAACAGUCUGCAGCAGGCUCUGGAUCUGUCCGUACUUCUGCUCAUCCUCAGGCCUCAUUUUCCUCUUCUCCUCCACCUGUGGAGACAUGGACUUAAGCCUCUCUUUCCUCUUCUCCUCAACAGGUGGAGACAUGGACUUAAGCCUCUCUUUCCUCUUCUCCUCAACAGGUGGAGACAUGGACUUAAGCCUCUCUUUCCUCUUCUCCUCAACAGGUGGAGACUUGGACUUAAGCCUCCCUUUCCUCUUCUCCUCAACAGGUGGAGACUUGGACUUAAGCCUCCCUUUCCCCUUCGGCUCAACAGGUGGAGACUUGGACUUAAGCCUCCCUUUCCUCUUCUCCUCAACAGGUGGAGACUUGGACUUAAGCCUCCCUUUCCUCUUCUCCUCAACAGGUGGAGACUUGGACUUAUGCCUUCCUUUCCCCUUCGGCUCAACAGGUGGAGACUUGGACUUAAGCCUCCCUUUCCUCUUCUCCUCAACAGGUGGAGACUUGGACUUAUGCCUUCCUUUCCCCUUCGGCUCAACAGGUGGAGACUUGGACUUAAGCCUCCCUUUCCUCGUCUCAUCCACCUGUGUAGACUUGGGCUUUUUGUUUUUUGGGCUAUCCAUAGCCUGGAUGAAGCCUAAGCUAAGGCUAUGUUGCCCAAUCUCUCCUCCUCCAUUUUGUAAGAGACUGCGGUGCUGUGGCAGAACGUUACCUGCUUGGGCCACUUGACGCAACAGAUCCCCAAACGGAUUGGGCUGAACCCCGAGUAGUGUGGGCUGACCCCAGAGUAUAUUGAACGAACCUUGUGGGAACUCAUCAAAUCGGGAGCGCCUUUUGCGAGAGGGCACCUUCCUCUCAUUCUUAGAGUUGGUCUCGGGCUGGCCAUGAAGUGGAGGCGGCUGACCUUGUGGCAGCUCCUCUCCCAUAGAGGGUAAAUCCUUGAAAUUGUUGACAAUCUUUGAGAGCCUGUCGAUGUCCACCCCUUUGUUGAGGACAUCGAGGAAGUGCUGGAAGCCCUUGGCUGCUUUGUCCU